RNAcentral lists this long non-coding RNA (1348 nucleotides) under Nicotiana benthamiana. RNAcentral's name for it is "long non-coding RNA (NBEN_LNC037650)". The record is from RNAcentral. Lineage: Eukaryota; Viridiplantae; Streptophyta; Magnoliopsida; Solanales; Solanaceae.
UAGAGGUUCCAAACAACCCGGUCGAGGUGAGUCUUCCCAGGGAGGCAAAGGAAAACAAGUAAAACUCACUCCCCAACCUAGAUAGAACACAAGGAAAGCGACCAAGGUUGUUGAUACAUUUAGUGACCAAUCAGGGAGUGAGUACAUGCCUUCUCAAGACCUCUCCUCCGACUUAGUGGUACCUUACUCAGUUUUAGCUUCACCCACUGCCCAAGCUCCGCAACGUUUAUCUUCUGAGUCAUCUGAGGGCUCAGUAGCCGGCAGCGGUGAGUACUCCAUCUCCCCCAAAACUUCAUUAUUCGAGGAGAGUGCAGGCGGAGGUGCUGAGCAUGAUAAUGAUAGUGAUGAGGAGAAACCUCAAAGUGGUAUGCCUCAGGUUGAGGGUGUUGACCAAACCAGAAACCCAACAGUCUGGGAAGACAAAUUUGUGAGCCAGAUGACUUUUCAUAAAUUCAAGGUAACGUGGUCAAUAUGACAGCUGAUUCUGGAAAGAAGUUUUAUUGACUGAGACUUGUUACCCCUAAACCCAAAUGUACAUAGAAAGUUUCGAGCUCGAGUGGGUUUGGAACAUUUUAGGGAUGACUGUAUAAAGGCGAAUGAGCACAUGGUCAAGGAGUUCUACAAUAAUGUGGCCCAUAUCGCGAAGAGCACAAUAUUGACCAAAGUGCGGAAUAAGAAUGUGGUGUUUACGGUGAAGGCAUUAAAUCAGUACUUGGGGUUCAAUGAUGAAAAUGAGACCUUGUACAAUGAGAAGUUGGCAAUGGGCGAUGAGGUUCGUCUGUGGUUAGCUUCGUACCUGGCGAUCCCUAGACUUUUUCCAGAGUUGUUACAAGCAAGGGCCAAAAUACUUCAGAGGACUCUCAAUUUUGAGGCUAGGGGUGGUUGACGUUCGUGUGCAGUAGGCUUGACCCCACUACCCAUGAUCAAACUAUUCCUCUUGCUGGGGCUGUUCUUAUCGGCUCUAUUAUGGCGGGCUACCCUAUCAACAUGGGCAAUGUGAUGGCUCGUGUGAUUUCUGCAGUGAGGGUCAAGCAUGACCGGAACUACCCUUUCCCAACACCCUCACCAUGUACUUCCGGGAUCUGAAGGUCGAGAAGAAGCCCUUUGAUUUCAAGGUAAAGUCGGUGGUCGUAUUCUCUUGGUACAGUUUAAAGGGGCCAGACAACCCCAACGAUAAAAAUUACAAGCCACCUACCUCUACCCAAACUGGCCAGUCUGAGCUGGUUGCGGUUGAGCCUUCCAUUGAGCAUUUUCCACUACCACUGACAUGCCUCCCGGACCUUCUACUACUAUUGGUCCCUCUACUUCAGCUGGCCUGGGGAUUCCAUCUUCCCAGGCCCAUCCUAUC